This 578-nucleotide ribosomal RNA is filed under the name Paenibacillus sp. Its description in RNAcentral is "bacterial SSU rRNA". It matches the Rfam family "Bacterial small subunit ribosomal RNA", at positions 282 to 870 of the family's 1533-position model. Lineage: Bacteria; Bacillati; Bacillota; Bacilli; Caryophanales; Paenibacillaceae. The record is from RNAcentral.
GGUAGCCGGCCUGAGAGGGCGACCGGCCACACUGGGACUGAGACACGGCCCAGACUCCUACGGGAGGCAGCAGUGGGGAAUAUUGCACAAUGGGCGAAAGCCUGAUGCAGCGACGCCGCGUGAGGGAUGACGGCCUUCGGGUUGUAAACCUCUUUCAGCAGGGAAGAAGCGAAAGUGACGGUACCUGCAGAAGAAGCGCCGGCUAACUACGUGCCAGCAGCCGCGGUAAUACGUAGGGCGCAAGCGUUGUCCGGAAUUAUUGGGCGUAAAGAGCUCGUAGGCGGUCUGUCGCGUCGGAUGUGAAAGCCCGGGGCUUAACCCCGGGUCUGCAUUCGAUACGGGCAGACUAGAGUGUGGUAGGGGAGAUCGGAAUUCCUGGUGUAGCGGUGAAAUGCGCAGAUAUCAGGAGGAACACCGGUGGCGAAGGCGGAUCUCUGGGCCAUUACUGACGCUGAGGAGCGAAAGCGUGGGGAGCGAACAGGAUUAGAUACCCUGGUAGUCCACGCCGUAAACGGUGGGAACUAGGUGUUGGCGACAUUCCACGUCGUCGGUGCCGCAGCUAACGCAUUAAGUUCCCC